UUAAAUUGAAGAGUUUGAUCAUGGCUCAGAUUGAACGCUGGCGGCAGGCCUAACACAUGCAAGUCGGACGGUAGCACAGAGAGCUUGCUCUCGGGUGACGAGUGGCGGACGGGU
RNAcentral lists this ribosomal RNA (114 nucleotides) under Pantoea ananatis. RNAcentral's name for it is "partial 16S ribosomal RNA". It matches the Rfam family "Bacterial small subunit ribosomal RNA", at positions 1 to 107 of the family's 1533-position model. Lineage: Bacteria; Pseudomonadati; Pseudomonadota; Gammaproteobacteria; Enterobacterales; Erwiniaceae. The record is from RNAcentral.